This 464-nucleotide ribosomal RNA is filed under the name Lygodactylus madagascariensis. RNAcentral describes it as "partial large subunit ribosomal RNA". It matches the Rfam family "Bacterial large subunit ribosomal RNA", at positions 1954 to 2597 of the family's 2925-position model. The record is from RNAcentral. Lineage: Eukaryota; Metazoa; Chordata; Lepidosauria; Squamata; Gekkonidae.
AGGUAGCGCAAUCACCUGUCCCUUAAUUGAGGACUAGUAUGAACGGCUAAAUGAGGGCCCCCCUGUCUCCUGCGACCAAUCAAUGAAUUUGAUCCUUCAGUACAAAAGCUGAAAUAUUUACAUAAGACGAAAAGACCCUAUGGAGCUUUAAGCCAUUAUACUACUCAGCCAUAAAACCCCUUCCACCACCCUAGUAUAUACUUUCAGUUGGGGCAACUACGGAGCAAAACAAAAACUCCACGGACCAACGUCUAACACACGCAGCACCCCAGGCUGCCACGCCAAACACCCUAGACCCAGACCCAGUUUAACUGAACAACGGACCAAGUUACCCUAGGGAUAACAGCGCUAUCUUCCCCCCAGAGCCCAUAUCUACGGGGAGGCUUACGACCUCGAUGUUGGAUCAGGACCCCCCGGCGGUGCAGCCGCUGCCAAAGGUUCGUUUGUUCAACGACUAACGUCCU